This 404-nucleotide ribosomal RNA is filed under the name uncultured bacterium. RNAcentral's name for it is "bacterial SSU rRNA". It matches the Rfam family "Bacterial small subunit ribosomal RNA", at positions 355 to 776 of the family's 1533-position model. The record is from RNAcentral.
UGGGGAAUAUUGGACAAUGGGGGCAACCCUGAUCCAGCCAUGCCGCGUGAGUGAAGAAGGCCCUAGGGUUGUAAAGCUCUUUCAGCGGGGAAGAUGAUGACGGUACCCGCAGAAGAAGCCCCGGCUAACUCCGUGCCAGCAGCCGCGGUAAUACGGAGGGGGCUAGCGUUGCUCGGAAUUACUGGGCGUAAAGGGCGCGUAGGCGGGUAAUCAAGUCAGGCGUGAAAGGCCCGGGCUCAACCUGGGAACUGCGUUUGAAACUGGUUACCUUGAGUGUCAGAGAGGGUGGUGGAAUUCCCAGUGUAGAGGUGAAAUUCGUAGAUAUUGGGAAGAACACCAGUGGCGAAGGCGGCCACCUGGCUGACUACUGACGCUGAGGCGCGAAAGCGUGGGGAGCAAACAGG